GCCAGAAAGCAUUGCCUUCUUCUCUGAGGCAGCCAGCCAAACUCCUCCCUGCUUAAGUGCAGGGUAGCGAUUUUCUUAACUGUACACACUUAUUUAAAUUACUAUUUAUUUUGUUUCUUAGUUAUAUUUACCAGAGCUGUGCAUAAUGCUUUAAAUAUAGAGCAGUAAAAAAUGUCAUCUAUCCUGAAACAGACAAUUGGGUCCCAAUCUAAUGUUUAUUGAAGUCAGUGAAAGCCUUUCUGAGGUCAUUGGAUUGGAUCCUUGGUGCACAAGAAAAGCAAAGCUGAACCAUAAAGAUAUUAUUUGAGAAGAUCAUUAACUCCCAAGGAUAAACUCAUAGAAGAGGGCCUGGAACAGAGGAAACGAGCUGAAUUGACGUCAACGGAUCUACUCCUGCUUUACACCAGGAAAAGGAUAAUCAGGCGCUGUGUGAUAUGAAGGACUGGUUUUUUUUAUAAGUAUACAAAAAAUACAGUUGAAAAAAAGCUGUAGUACACCAACAAAAGUACACCAAGAAAAAAGUAAAAUAAGGCAAUCCUUUUUAAGGGUUUCUUUGCCUUUGCUUACUUCUUGAAUUAAAUGAUGCAGAAAAGGGCUUACAGGUACAUUUUGCUGCUGAUGCUGAAGAAAGAUGUGAAAAUGAGGUUUCCAGACCUUGCCCCCAGUAUCUCUGCAUGAGACAAGAGUUCUUUCAAAAUGACUGACAGCUAGAAAGAUAGUGCCAGUGCAAAUGGCUCACUGUCCAUCAUCUUCCAAGCACUGGAGCUGUCAGGAAGCUUAAAAAUGAAGCUGUAUAUAUUAAAGUUAUGUUUAAAUCAUUCUAGGGAGUGGCAGAAAAGGGAAAGAUUAAUGAUCCAACUAUAUAUGC
Mauremys reevesii (Reeves's turtle) is the source of this 868-nucleotide long non-coding RNA. RefSeq lists it as uncharacterized. Lineage: Eukaryota; Metazoa; Chordata; Testudines; Geoemydidae. The transcript has 5 exons. The record is from RefSeq and is a predicted model, not a curated record.